Molecule: ribosomal RNA, 612 nt
Filed under: Desmazierella acicola
Lineage: Eukaryota; Fungi; Ascomycota; Pezizomycetes; Pezizales; Sarcoscyphaceae
Description: eukaryotic LSU rRNA
Rfam family: Eukaryotic large subunit ribosomal RNA
Source: RNAcentral
UUGGCCUCGAAUCAGGUAGGGAUACCCGCUGAACUUAAGCAUAUCAAUAAGCGGAGGAAAAGAAACCAACAGGGAUUGCCUUAGUAACUGCGAGUGAAGCGGCAAGAGCUCAAAUUUGAAAUCUGGCGCCUUUGGCGUCCGAGUUGUAAUUUGGAGAGGCAUCUUCGGGUGCGGCGCCGGCCUAAGUUCCUUGGAACAGGACGUCAUAGAGGGUGAGAAUCCCGUUCUCGGCUGGCUGUCCGCAUCCAUGUGAAGUGUCUUCGACGAGUCGAGUUGUUUGGGAAUGCAGCUCAAAAUGGGUGGUAAACUCCAUCUAAAGCUAAAUACUGGCGAGAGACCGAUAGCGCACAAGUAGAGUGAUCGAAAGAUGAAAAGCACUUUGAAAAGAGAGUUAAAAAGUACGUGAAAUUGUUGAAAGGGAAGCGCUUGAGACCAGACUCGGCGGGAGGUAUUCAUCGUCCCUUCUGGGGCGUGCACUUGCCUCUCGUCGGGCCAGCAUCGGUUGCGGCGGCGGGAUAAAGACCCGGGGAAUGUGGCUGCUCUCGGGCAGUGUUAUAGCCCCGGGUGCCAUGCCGCCUGCUGCGACCGAGGACCGCGCUUCGGCUAGGAUGC